GGAAUAAAAGUCGUAACAAGGUUUCCGUAGGUGAACCUGCGGAAGGAUCAUUAUUGUAUAACCGAGGUGCGAGGGCUGUCGCUGACCCGAAAGGUCGUGCACGCCCGAGUGCCCUCACACACAUCCAUCUCACCCCUAUGUGCACCACCGCGUGGGUCCCCCUUUGGCUUGUUCGGAGGGGGGCUUGCGUUUUCACACAAACUUUGUAUGCAGUGUAGAAUGUAUUUUUUGUUUUUGCGAUCACGCAAUCAAUACAACUUUCAACAACGGAUCUCUUGGCUCUC
Molecule: unclassified non-coding RNA, 284 nt
Filed under: plant metagenome
Description: partial contains small subunit ribosomal RNA, internal transcribed spacer 1, and 5.8S ribosomal RNA
Rfam family: Eukaryotic small subunit ribosomal RNA (bases 1-53)
Source: RNAcentral